Molecule: ribosomal RNA, 879 nt
Filed under: uncultured bacterium
Lineage: Bacteria
Description: bacterial SSU rRNA
Rfam family: Bacterial small subunit ribosomal RNA
Source: RNAcentral
ACGCUAGCUACAGGCUUAACACAUGCAAGUCGAGGGGCAGCAUGGUCUUAGCUUGCUAAGGCCGAUGGCGACCGGCGCACGGGUGAGUAACACGUAUCCAACCUGCCGUCUACUCUUGGACAGCCUUCUGAAAGGAAGAUUAAUACAAGAUGGCAUCAUGAGUCCGCAUGUUCACAUGAUUAAAGGUAUUCCGGUAGACGAUGGGGAUGCGUUCCAUUAGAUAGUAGGCGGGGUAACGGCCCACCUAGUCUUCGAUGGAUAGGGGUUCUGAGAGGAAGGUCCCCCACAUUGGAACUGAGACACGGUCCAAACUCCUACGGGAGGCAGCAGUGAGGAAUAUUGGUCAAUGGGCGAGAGCCUGAACCAGCCAAGUAGCGUGAAGGAUGACUGCCCUAUGGGUUGUAAACUUCUUUUAUAAAGGAAUAAAGUCGGGUAUGCAUACCCGUUUGCAUGUACUUUAUGAAUAAGGAUCGGCUAACUCCGUGCCAGCAGCCGCGGUAAUACGGAGGAUCCGAGCGUUAUCCGGAUUUAUUGGGUUUAAAGGGAGCGUAGAUGGAUGUUUAAGUCAGUUGUGAAAGUUUGCGGCUCAACCGUAAAAUUGCAGUUGAUACUGGAUAUCUUGAGUGCAGUUGAGGCAGGCGGAAUUCGUGGUGUAGCGGUGAAAUGCUUAGAUAUCACGAAGAACUCCGAUUGCGAAGGCAGCCUGCUAAGCUGCAACUGACAUUGAGGCUCGAAAGUGUGGGUAUCAAACAGGAUUAGAUACCCUGGUAGUCCACACGGUAAACGAUGAAUACUCGCUGUUUGCGAUAUACGGCAAGCGGCCAAGCGAAAGCGUUAAGUAUUCCACCUGGGGAGUACGCCGGCAACGGUGAAACUCAA